UACGUAGGGUCCAAGCGUUAUCCGGAAUCACUGGGCGUAAAGCGUGCGUAGGUGGCGCGUUAAGUGAGAUGUUAAAUCGUGUGGCUCAACCAUAUCGAUGCAUCUCAUACUGGCGUGCUAGAGGACAGCAGAGGCAAGUGGAAUUUGUAGUGUAGCAGUGAAAUGCGUAGAUAUUACAAGGAACACCAAUGGCGAAGGCAGCUUGCUGGGCUGACACUGACGCUGAUGCGCGAAAGCCAGGGGAGCGAACGGG
Molecule: ribosomal RNA, 253 nt
Filed under: uncultured bacterium
Lineage: Bacteria
Description: partial 16S ribosomal RNA
Rfam family: Bacterial small subunit ribosomal RNA
Source: RNAcentral